This 459-nucleotide ribosomal RNA is filed under the name uncultured bacterium. RNAcentral describes it as "partial 16S ribosomal RNA". It matches the Rfam family "Bacterial small subunit ribosomal RNA", at positions 338 to 795 of the family's 1533-position model. The record is from RNAcentral.
CCUACGGGAGGCAGCAGUGAGGAAUAUUGGUCAAUGGGCGGAAGCCUGAACCAGCCAAGUAGCGUGCGGGAUGAAGGCCCUACGGGUCGUAAACCGCUUUUGCACGGGGAUAACACCCUCCACUUGUGGAGGUCUGCAGGUACCGUGCGAAUAAGGGCCGGCUAAUUCCGUGCCAGCAGCCGCGGUAAUACGGAAGGCCCGAGCGUUAUCCGGAUUCAUUGGGCUUAAAGGGAGCGUAGGCGGGCGUUCAAGUCAGCUGUAAAAUCGCGCGGCUCAACCGCGCCCCGCAGUUGAAACUGGAAGCCUUGAGUUCGCAACAGGCAGGCGGAAUUCGUGGUGUAGCGGUGAAAUGCAUAGAUAUCUGGAGGAACAUCAGUGGCGAAGGCGACUAUCUGGCACAUAACUGACGCUGAGGAGCGAAAGCGUGGGUAGCGAACAGGAUUAGAUACCCCAGUAGUC